This is a small nuclear RNA of Macadamia integrifolia, 102 nucleotides long. The record is from RefSeq and is a predicted model, not a curated record. NCBI's taxonomy places the organism in Eukaryota, Viridiplantae, Streptophyta, Magnoliopsida, Proteales, Proteaceae.
UUCUCUUUGUAGACAUUCGAUAAAAUUGGAAUGAUAUAGAGAAUAUUAGCAUGGCUCUUGUAGAAGGAUGCACGCACAAAUUAAGAAAUAAUCCAAAUUUUA